AAUCAACGCUGGCGGCGUGCCUCAGACAUGCAAGUCGAACGCGAAAGUUCCCUUCGGGGGAGUAAGUAGAGUGGCGUCCGGGUGAGUAACACGUAGGUAAUCUACCUUUGGGUGGGGAAUAACAACCGGAAACGGUUGCUAAUACCGCAUAAUGCAGCGGCACCACAUGGUGACAGUUGUUAAAGCGGGGGAGUCGAAAGACCUCGCGUCUAAAGAGGAGCCUGCGGCGGAUUAGCUAGUUGGUAAGGAAUGGCUUACCAAGGCUACGAUCCGUAACCGGCCUGAGAGGGCGGUCGGUCACACUGACACUGACAUACGGGUC
RNAcentral lists this ribosomal RNA (322 nucleotides) under uncultured bacterium. Its description in RNAcentral is "bacterial SSU rRNA". It matches the Rfam family "Bacterial small subunit ribosomal RNA", at positions 32 to 332 of the family's 1533-position model. The record is from RNAcentral.